UACAGAGGGUGCGAGCGUUGUCCGGAAUCACUGGGCGUAAAGGGCGCGUAGGCGGCGCGGUAAGCGUGCGGUGAAAGCCCGGGGCUCAACCCCGGGUCGGCCGUGCGGACUGCCGGGCUGGAGCACUGUAGAGGCAGGUGGAAUUCCGGGUGUAGCGGUGGAAUGCGUAGAGAUCCGGAAGAACACCGGUGGCGAAGGCGGUCUGCUGGGGUCGAACUGACGCUGAGGCGCGACAGCGUGGGGAGCAAACAGG
Molecule: ribosomal RNA, 253 nt
Filed under: uncultured bacterium
Lineage: Bacteria
Description: partial 16S ribosomal RNA
Rfam family: Bacterial small subunit ribosomal RNA
Source: RNAcentral